RNAcentral lists this ribosomal RNA (245 nucleotides) under uncultured Conexibacter sp. RNAcentral describes it as "partial 16S ribosomal RNA". It matches the Rfam family "Bacterial small subunit ribosomal RNA", at positions 524 to 768 of the family's 1533-position model. Lineage: Bacteria; Bacillati; Actinomycetota; Thermoleophilia; Solirubrobacterales; Conexibacteraceae. The record is from RNAcentral.
UACGUAGGGGGCAAGCGUUGUCCGGAAUCAUUGGGCGUAAAGAGCGUGUAGGCGGCUCGGUAAGUCCGCUGUGAAAGUCCAGGGCUCAACCCUGGAAUGCCGGUGGAAACUGUCGAGCUAGAGUCCGGAAGAGGCGAGUGGAAUUCCUGGUGUAGCGGUGAAAUGCGCAGAUAUCAGGAGGAACACCAAUGGCGAAGGCAGCUCGCUGGGACGGUACUGACGCUGAGACGCGAAAGCGUGGGGAG